This is a non-coding RNA of Pteronotus mesoamericanus, 590 nucleotides long. The record is from the annotation of a RefSeq genome assembly. NCBI's taxonomy places the organism in Eukaryota, Metazoa, Chordata, Mammalia, Chiroptera, Mormoopidae.
CUCAGGUGUUCCCAUUCCCUAUCAGCACAGAGCACAGACCACUCACCAUGGAGUUUGGGCUCAGCUGCAUUUUCCUUCUGGCUAUUUUAAGAGGUGUCCAGUGUGAUGUGCAGCUGGUGGAAUCUGGAGGAGGCCUGGUGAAGCCUGGGGGAUCUCUGAGACUCUCCUGCACAGCCUCUGGAUUCACGUUUGAUGAUUAUGGCAUGAACUGGGUCCGCCAGGCUCCAGGAAAGGGGCUGGAGUGGGUCUCAUACAUUAAUUGGAAUAGUGGUAGCAUAUACUAUGCCAACUCUGUGAAGGGUCGAUUCACCAUCUCCAGAGAAAACAGCAAGAACACACUCUACCUGCAAAUGGACAGGCUGAGAGCUGAGGACACGGCACUGUAUUACUGUGCUAGAGGCACAGUGAGGGGAAGUCAGUGUAAGGCCAGGCAUAAACCUCCCUUCAGGAAGGGGUUUGACCACCAGAUGGUGUUCAGAGUUCCUGAACACAAGGACCAUCACACGAGCAGCUGCACUUUGGGUUUGUCUGGUUUCCUCUGUGGCUCUUUUUCAUCUGACAGUUCCCUCAGGGAACCUCUGGAUUCCUGA